UACGGAGGGUGCAAGCGUUAUCCGGAUUCACUGGGCUUAAAGGGUGCGUAGGUGGGCAGGUAAGUCAGUGGUGAAAUCUCCGGGCUUAACUCAGAAACUGCCAUGGAUACUAUUUGUCUUGAAUGUUGUGGAGGUAAGCGGAAUAUGUCAUGUAGCGGUGAAAUGCUUAGAUAUGACAUAGAACACCAAUUGCGAAGGCAGCUUACUACACAAAUAUUGACGCUGAGGCACGAAAGCGUGGGGAUCAAACAGG
RNAcentral lists this ribosomal RNA (253 nucleotides) under uncultured bacterium. RNAcentral's name for it is "partial 16S ribosomal RNA". It matches the Rfam family "Bacterial small subunit ribosomal RNA", at positions 524 to 776 of the family's 1533-position model. The record is from RNAcentral.